CACGGAGUUAGCCGAUCCUUAUUCUUACGGUACCGUCAAUCUGCCUCACGAGGCAGGGUUUCUUCCCGUACAAAAGCAGUUUACACACCAUAGAUGCGUCGUCCUGCACGCGGCAUGGCUGGUUCAGGCUUGCGCCCAUUGACCAAUAUUCCUCACUGCUGCCUCCCGUAGGAGUCUGGUCCGUGUCUCAGUACCAGUGUGGGGGAUCUCCCUCUCAGGACCCCUACCCAUCAUUGCCUUGGUGUGCCGUUACCACACCAACCAGCUAAUGGGACGCAUGCUCAUCUUACACCGUUGAUACUUUAAUAUGUCGGGGAUGUCCCCAUCAUAUACUAUAAGGUAUUAAUCCAAAUUUCUCUGGGCUAUCCCUUAGUGUAAGGCAGAUUGCAUACGCGUUACGCACCCGUGCGCCGGUCUCAGGAACCGAAGUCCCCUACCCCUCGACUUGCAUGUGUUAGGCCUGCCGCUAGCGUUCAUCCUGAGCCAGGAUCAAA
Molecule: ribosomal RNA, 494 nt
Filed under: uncultured Flavobacteriaceae bacterium
Lineage: Bacteria; Pseudomonadati; Bacteroidota; Flavobacteriia; Flavobacteriales; Flavobacteriaceae
Description: partial 16S ribosomal RNA
Source: RNAcentral